RNAcentral lists this small RNA (171 nucleotides) under Saccharothrix sp. ST-888. RNAcentral describes it as "c-di-AMP riboswitch aptamer (ydaO/yuaA leader)". It matches the Rfam family "c-di-AMP riboswitch aptamer (ydaO/yuaA leader)". Rfam says of the family: This family represents a conserved RNA structure found upstream of the ydaO and yuaA genes in Bacillus subtilis and related genes in other bacteria. The ydaO/yuaA element is thought to act as a genetic "off" switch for the ydaO and yuaA genes in its native state. The record is from Rfam by way of RNAcentral. Lineage: Bacteria; Bacillati; Actinomycetota; Actinomycetes; Pseudonocardiales; Pseudonocardiaceae. RNAcentral also lists the same sequence under 1 other name.
UCGAGCUGUGCACCGGGCAGGAGCGGGGGAACCAGGUAGUUCGCCGUGCCCUGCUCAGCCCGUUCUUCGGGCUUUCCAGGCUGCGGCUCGGGGUGAAGCCGUCUCGUACGGCCGGGCUACCUCACGGCCCGAACCCGACAGCUCACCUCGUAGGCGUCGCAGAGGAACGCC